Molecule: long non-coding RNA, 842 nt
Organism: Dromaius novaehollandiae (emu)
Lineage: Eukaryota; Metazoa; Chordata; Aves; Casuariiformes; Dromaiidae
Source: Ensembl
AUUUUGUAUAGCUGUGUUCCAGAAAUGGUUAGGAAUGUUUUAGAGUUAUUUUUAAACAUUUUAUUGUGACUUUUUGUUUGUAUUUCUUGUCCUUAGUUACCAUGGGUGAGCUCCUGAAUUCUGACUGAGGUACACUUGGCACGGCAUUCCUCAUGGAGGAGAAAAGGCACUAAGGUGAUGUUAAGGCACCUUUACUCUUCCCUGAUUUGGACUGCUUUGCUCCUGGACAGUCUCCUUAACAUUGACUUUAAGCUAUGAUGCAGCCUCUUAGCUUAAGAGUCUGUUUUGACAGCUGAUGCCAGCACAUAAAUCUUGCACUGGUCAAAACAAAUGGAACAGAAUGAAAACUAGAGCCAUGCUGUGUGAGGAUGCUGACAUCUGUGGAUAGUAACCAUCAACCCCUUGCUCACGAGAGCCUGCAGAGCUGCUUCUGGCCACACUGAAGACAGAGUUAAAUGUGAACUUGGCAGAGAGAGCAAAACAUGAAAUUGCCCAAAAUACACUUUUGCUCAGUAUUUUGCCUUUGUCCCGGAGAUGAUUUUGAACAAUUGCCUUUGGUAUCAUCCACUAGUUUCUUCCAUCAAAAGAUAUUUUGAUACUAUCUUACAAGGCAGAUAUGAGUAAUACGCGAGGUCAAUAAGGAAAUACUGACUUUCCAGGCCACAAAGGUGAAAGAGUUGUGUAUUAACUCAUUUCCAUACCUGCAAACAAGCAAAAACUGUCAACAGAGAGAGUGGCUUUACCAGGUGCUUUGAGAAGAACACCUUAGCCUAAAGUUGUAAGUAAACUUUAUUAUGAUGUCUAUAAAUAAAAUCUUCUAAAUAUUUUAUUUUAUUAAACUG